UGCGUAGGUGGCGAGGUAAGUCGGAUGUGAAAUCUCGGAGCUCAACUCCGAAACGGCAUUGGAAACUACCUUGCUCGAGGGUUGGAGGGGGGACUGGAAUUCUCGGUGUAGCAGUGAAAUGCGUAGAUAUCGAGAGGAACACCGGUGGCGAAGGCGAGUCCCUGGACAACUCCUGACACUGAGGCACGAAAGCUAGGGGAGCAAACAGGAUUAGAUACCCUGGUAGUCCUAGCCGUAAACGGUGCAUGCUUGCUGUAAAAGGAAUCGACCCCUUUUGUGGCGGAGCCAACGCGUUAAGCAUGCCGCCUGGGAAGUACGGUCGCAAGAUUAAA
This 332-nucleotide ribosomal RNA is filed under the name uncultured bacterium. Its description in RNAcentral is "bacterial SSU rRNA". It matches the Rfam family "Bacterial small subunit ribosomal RNA", at positions 568 to 898 of the family's 1533-position model. The record is from RNAcentral.